Molecule: long non-coding RNA, 465 nt
Filed under: Ananas comosus (pineapple)
Lineage: Eukaryota; Viridiplantae; Streptophyta; Magnoliopsida; Poales; Bromeliaceae
Description: long non-coding RNA (ACOM_LNC039100)
Source: RNAcentral
ACAAUAUUGUUGAGCACUGAAACAUAUGAAGCCCAAUCAAAUCAAUAUCUUGGUUCAGAAUCAAAUUCAAUCAACCGUCGUACUGAAUUAUGUUCAUCUUUUAUUCAAUCACAGCAUUACAAAGGUCUCUUAAUCGAAGGUGCCNAAUGCACAUACAGGGAAUUUAAUCAAUCCUUCACCUUAGGGUGAACAAUAUUGUUGAGCACUGAAACAUAUGAAGCCCAAUCAAAUCAAUAUCUUGGUUCAGAAUCAAAUUCAAUCAACCGUCGUACUGAAUUAUGUUCAUCUUUUAUUCAAUCACAGCAUUACAAAGGUCUCUUAAUCGAAGGUGCCCUAACACUUUGUAGGGGUAAUUAACAAUAGACGCUUGCGUUUAUUGGAAGCCAUGAAUCCACAAUACCUGAUAACCAUAUACAUAUUCAAAUAUUAAUCUGAAUCAUGAAUACUACCCCACGGUGGAAAAUC